AAUGGCUAUGGUAGCUUAUUUACUAGAAGUCAUGUAUUUAGCUUUAACUCUGGAAGUAUAUACUCAAUUCUGACCAAACUAAGCCUCCUAUGCUAGUUUGGUCAGAAUCGAGUCUUUGUUUCCAGAGUUUAAUGCUAAAUACUUAUGGUAAAUGAGCCACCAUAGACACUA
This is a non-coding RNA of Podarcis lilfordi (Lilford's wall lizard), 171 nucleotides long. The record is from the annotation of a GenBank genome assembly. Lineage: Eukaryota; Metazoa; Chordata; Lepidosauria; Squamata; Lacertidae.